CCGCGGAGUAGAAGCGUUCACCGUUUCGCCUUUGCAGGACGCCCCGGGCCGGCGCGUCCUGCGGGCGUAUCGGCCGGAAAUUGCUCCCGGA
This 91-nucleotide non-coding RNA is filed under the name Variovorax sp. RNAcentral's name for it is "Xanthine-I sequence". It matches the Rfam family "Xanthine riboswitch aptamer (NMT1 RNA)". From Rfam's summary of the family: Later it was reported as a ncRNA that recognised Xanthine. Lineage: Bacteria; Pseudomonadati; Pseudomonadota; Betaproteobacteria; Burkholderiales; Comamonadaceae. The record is from RNAcentral.